CUGAUAGCUCAACUAUUAGGCUUCGGGGGAUACUGCCAGACUUGGAACCGGGAGAGGUAAGAGGUACUACAGGGGUAGGAGUGAAAUCUUGUAAUCCCUGUGGGACCACCUGUGGCGAAGGCGUCUUACCAGAACGGGUUCGACGGUGAGGGACGAAAGCUGGGGGCACGAACCGGAUUAGAUACCCGGGUAGUCCCAGCCGUAAACGAUGCUCGCUAGGUGUCAGGCAUGGCGCGACCGUGUCUGGUGCCGCAGGGAAGCCGUGAAGCGAGCCACCUGGGAAGUACGGCCGCAAGGCUGAAACUUAAAGGAAUUGGCGGGGGAGCACAACAACGGGUGGAAGCCUGCGGUUUAAUUGGACUCAACGCCGGACAACUCACCGGGGGCGACAGCAAUAUGUAGGCCAAGCUGAAGACUUUGCCUGAAUCGCUGAGGGGUGGUGCAUGG
RNAcentral lists this ribosomal RNA (447 nucleotides) under uncultured archaeon. Its description in RNAcentral is "bacterial SSU rRNA". It matches the Rfam family "Archaeal small subunit ribosomal RNA", at positions 551 to 997 of the family's 1478-position model. The record is from RNAcentral.